Equus caballus (horse) is the source of this 1548-nucleotide non-coding RNA. Lineage: Eukaryota; Metazoa; Chordata; Mammalia; Perissodactyla; Equidae. The record is from RefSeq and is a predicted model, not a curated record.
AAACCUGUAUUAAGUACCCUUUUAUUGAGAAAACCAUGUAUGUGAUUUGAGAGAGAAUGAUGGAGAAUUUCUCUUAAAUGUAAUUCUUUUAAAUGAGAAUAUAAAUGUCUUUUUGGAGGCUGAGCAUGAACAAGGUGGAAACUGCUUUUCUGUUCCAAGACUGGCACCAACAGGUACUCAAUAAAUAAGAACCUCAAUAAAUAAACCUCAAAAUAUAAAAACCCUUGAGGGGCUUAAAUAAGUUCGUAAAAGUCCCCAAAUAUCCUGGAGCUGUUAGGUCCUUCAGUUUGUUUGUUUGUUUCUUCUUGUGUUACUGACUGAGGAAAAGCCUUCCGUCACUGUAAAUGUUGUAUGGUUUAUCAUCACUAAAAACGACUUUCUAGAAUAGGGUAGGUUGCUUAUGUUUGGUAUUUUGAUGAGCAGGUAUGUUGGUCAUGAUCUUUCUAGACCUUAGCUCUAAUUUUUUCCACUUCUUCAAGAGGUGUCCUCAUCCUUGUCUCCUAACAUAUCUGGUAAUUUCAGUUACUUUUCUCUGCAUCUUCUCUGUAACAUGUCUGCCCAGGAAAACUCAGAGCUGAGAGAGGGAAGCUAAGUUAUAUUUAGAGCAGAAUAGGAACUAUGUGAGGGAGACUAAGAGGCAUUCCUUUAGAAGAGUGUAAUCACUGAAAACUCUCUCGCGCAUAAUCUCUCUCAUACACCCAUGAACAAUAUCCCCCUUCUCAGUCACACCCACCCUCACAGACAAACACACACACAGAACCGAGUGGUGAUCUGGUGAAGUCUGUGCAGCGUUGCAUUGUCCUCACCCAGUGCCUGGUGGAGCAGAACUUCCCAGCCAUUGCCAUCCGCCGAGGGAUGCCCCAGGAGGAGAGGCUUUCUCAGUAUCACCAGUUUAAAUAUUUUCAACGAUGAAUUCCUGUGCCUACCAACCUAUUCAGCCGAGGCAAGGACAUGGAGCAGGUGAACAUUGCCUUUAACUGUGACAUGCCUGAGCAUUCUGACACCCACCUGCAUCGGUUGGACGGACGCCGUAAAGGACUUACCCACCCAUUCUGGAAUGUGACAGCUGUCUCUCUUCAGGAGAUGACACCGGGGUAGGAGCAAAGGAGACACUACUGCCACCUACCACUGACAACCCCCAACCCCCACCUCACGGCUUCCCUCUUUUGCGUCACCACCAGUCCUAAACCUCCAUUUCCUGAUUUGUCAGAACUUUUUUUCAACAAAACUAAAAAACACAUGCACCUGUGAUGUCUGUAAACGCUCCGUCUCUUUAUUGGAUUUGGGGUGAGGUUGUUUUAGGGUAAGAUCCAGGGUAUAUUCCUGUAAGGACUGUGUGCCCUGCCUGCUGUGGUGCAGAGGUCAGUGGGCGGGGUCAAAGUGGGGGAUGUGACUAAACAGAUUGCAGAGACCAUGGCUCCCCACUACCUUCCAAAUUCUGGCCCUUCGUGGAGGUGUGUUCCGUUUUUCUUAGUGGCUGGAAGAGGCUGGGAUGUUUCCGAUUGAGGAGCUCAUGGGGCUGGUGCGUAAUAUUUCCAUCGUUGGAGG